GACGUAGGGUCCGAGCGUUGUCCGGAGUUACUGGGCGUAAAGGGCGCGCAGGCUGUUAUGCGAGUCUGCUGUGAAAUGUACCGGCUCAACCGGUGCCUUGCGGCGGAUACUGCAUAGCUGGAGUACUGGAGAGGGAAGUGGAAUUCCCGGUGUAUCGGUGAAAUGCGUAGAUAUUAGGAGGAACACCAGUGGCGAAGGCGACUUACUGGACUGUAACUGACGUUGAGGCUCGAAAGCGUGGGGAGCAAACAGGAUUAGAUACCCGUGUA
Molecule: ribosomal RNA, 269 nt
Filed under: uncultured prokaryote
Description: partial 16S ribosomal RNA
Rfam family: Bacterial small subunit ribosomal RNA
Source: RNAcentral